GACGAACGCUGGCGGCGUGCUUAACACAUGCAAGUCGAACGCUGAAGCACCAGCUUGCUGGUGUGGAUGAGUGGCGAACGGGUGAGUAAUACGUGAGUAACCUGCCCUUGACUCUGGGAUAAGCCCGGGAAACUGGGUCUAAUACUGGAUGCUACAUGUCACCGCAUGGUGGUGUGUGGAAAGGGUUUACUGGUCUUGGAUGGGCUCACGGCCUAUCAGCUUGUUGGUGAGGUAAUGGCUCACCAAGGCGACGACGGGUAGCCGGCCUGAGAGGGUGACCGGCCACACUGGGACUGAGACACAGCCCAGACUCCUACGGGAGGCAGCAGUGGGGAAUAUUGCACAAUGGGCGAAAGCCUGAUGCAGCGACGCCGCGUGAGGGAUGACGGCCUUCGGGUUGUAAACCUCUUUCAGCAGGGAAGAAGCCACAAGUGACGGUACCUGCAGAAGAAGCGCCGGCUAACUACGUG
This 470-nucleotide ribosomal RNA is filed under the name uncultured bacterium. RNAcentral describes it as "partial 16S ribosomal RNA". It matches the Rfam family "Bacterial small subunit ribosomal RNA", at positions 28 to 507 of the family's 1533-position model. The record is from RNAcentral.